Molecule: non-coding RNA, 1812 nt
Organism: Tetranychus urticae (two-spotted spider mite)
Lineage: Eukaryota; Metazoa; Arthropoda; Arachnida; Trombidiformes; Tetranychidae
Source: RefSeq, a predicted model, not a curated record
GGUAACAUUUGAAAUUUACUUUUUUACCUUAUGUUUUAAUUGAAAUUUUGGUUUAUUUAAUUUAUUUAUCUAGUUUUUAAUUUAUUGUUAUUUACGGUUUGUGAUUAAAAUGCCUCAAGAUCUGCACAUUCAAGAGAUCCAAGCGCAGUUGAUGGAAUGUCGUGAGGAGAUAAAAAUUUACAAGCGAAAUGAAAAACAAAUGGAAUUCAUUACAAGGGAAAAUCGACAACUGCAGAAUGAAAAGCUUUAUUUAAGAGAAACUUUACAAAGGACCAUCGAAAAGAUGAGCUGUCUGGAGGAAGAUGUCAAUCAAAUGAGGAGUCACCUGUAUGCUGCUCGAUUAACCGAAGAAUCUGCUGAAAAUGACAUUAAAAAGUUAUACUCAACCAUUGAAGAGUUGCGUAAAGAAAAUGUCGCCCUUAAAGGUGCUAUUGAAGAUCUCAUAAUUACCAAAAAAGAGUUGGAAUCACAAGCAUUAGAACAGAAAAAAGAGUCAGACUUGGCCGAGGAAUUGGCCAACACUAGGAGACAAGCAUUGGAGCAACAAAUUGAAGCCCUUAAAAAAGUUAAUUGUAAACUACAGGAAUCGCGUGGAGGCCUCUAAUCACAUUAAAUCACACAAUCUUGCAUCAUCAGUACUGUUGCCUUCAUCACCACAUCACCACCAUCAUCAGCUGCAUCAACAUGAUCCACCAUACAUGACGUGAAUGCCAUCACUGUCUCCAUCUCAUCUCAUUCCCAUCAUAAUCAUCAUCAUAAUCGUUUGCCAUCUUAAAUCAUUCGAGACUAUUCGAGAAUACUCAUUGAAACAUUGAUUCAUCGUAAUAAUAUGCGUGAACUUCAGGAUAAGCUUCAUCUCAUCUCACCCUGUUUUUGCUCAUCUUUAUACACGUAUUUAAACAAACGAUGAUAAUUUACUGAAUUAAUUUGAAGGGCAAUUGGAUUUGAUAAAGAUAAAGCAGAAUAAAGUAAAGAGUGGAGAAUAAAUAACUUGACAUAAAACAAUUAAUACCUUUAAAUGGUUUACUAUUAUGAGAUGUUCUUGAUGCAUUUUAACCAUUCUUGUUGGUCAGGUUUUCAUGUGAUGGAUUACUUGACUCAAAGUGUAACCUAGAAGUGGAUAAAAAACUGAAUGUUGAACAACAAGUUACAAGCAAAAAGCAAAAGGUAGAAUGUUUAAACAUUUUACAAUCUAAUUGAAAAAAAACACAAAAAUCUAUUCAUGGUUAAAUCAUUUUAUUAGCUUGAAACUUUAACCGUUCAAACGCAUCUGCAAUUGAUUUACCUUUAUUUUAUUAUUUGUUUGAACCUCCAAAAGUUAUCAACAAUGUUAAUAUUUUUUUACCUGUUAACAAAUGAGGAACCAAAUCAAAUUGUUGAAAAGUCAAUCAAAAGUAAUAGCAACACGAAAAAAGAGCUAAAUUGUAACGUUGUUGUUGUUAAACAAAAGGAAUGGCUUUUUUUCAAUUUAAAUAUUUUUACAAUCAAAAUGAAACUGCGUCAAAACCAUUUAAUUGAUAAUUUGUGAUCAAAUUAAUUCAAUUGAGGUUAAACUGAUGCUAAAAUGAAAAUUGAAUUUAACGUUUUUUCAAUACACUUUUUCACCUGAACUUGAUUUUUAAAGUCAUUUCAAGUGGGGUAACAAAAAAUACCAAUGUAAUCAUAUAUUCUUUGGCCUUUCAAUCAACUCAAUUUAUCACGACUCUGAUUUACUUUUAACUCAACAGAGCAACAAUUAAAAGCAAAUGAUUUUUUUUUCUUCAAAUUUAUUGGUUAAUUAAAAGCGCAAGCAGAAACAAAAAUCAAAUCAAA